GAUGAACGCUGGCGGCGUGCCUAAUACAUGCAAGUCGAGCGAACAGACGAGGAGCUUGCUCCUCUGACGUUAGCGGCUGACGGGUGAGUAACACGUGGAUAACCUACCUAUAAGACUGGGAUAACUUCGGGAAACCGGAGCUAAUACCGGAUAAUAUAUUGAACCGCAUGGAUCAAUAGUGAAAGACGGUUUUGCUGUCACUUAUAGAUGGAUCCGCGCCGCAUUGUCUAGUUGGUAGGGUAACGGCUUACCAAGGCAACGAUGCGUAGCCGACCUGAGAGGGUGAUCGGCCACACUGGAACUGAGACACGGUCCAGACUCCUACGGGAGGCAGCAGUAGGGAAUCUUCCGCAAUGGGCGAAAGCCUGACGGAGCAACGCCGCGUGAGUGAUGAAGGUCUUCGGAUCGUAAAACUCUGUUAUUAGGGAAGAACAAAUGUGUAAGUAACUAUGCACGUCUUGACGGUACCUAAUCAGAAAGCCACGGCUAACUACGUG
This 497-nucleotide ribosomal RNA is filed under the name uncultured bacterium. Its description in RNAcentral is "partial 16S ribosomal RNA". It matches the Rfam family "Bacterial small subunit ribosomal RNA", at positions 28 to 507 of the family's 1533-position model. The record is from RNAcentral.